This 1005-nucleotide ribosomal RNA is filed under the name Triticum aestivum (bread wheat). Its description in RNAcentral is "partial small subunit ribosomal RNA". The record is from RNAcentral. Lineage: Eukaryota; Viridiplantae; Streptophyta; Magnoliopsida; Poales; Poaceae.
AUGCAAGAGAAGCAAGUUGUGGCCUAUACCUCUCGUCAGUUGAAGCCCAACGAAAAGAACUACCCCACUCACGAUCUUGAGUUGGCGGCAGUUGUCCAUGCAUUAAUAACAUGGAGACAUCUCUUGUUGGGAAGACAAGUGGACAUAUUCACCGAUCACAAGAGUCUCAAGUACAUCUUCACUCAGCCCAACCUCAACCUUAGGCAGACUCGAUGGGUCGAAACGAUUCAAGAGUACAAUCCGAGUAUUGAGUAUACUCCAGGAAAGGCCAAUGUCAUUGCAGAUGCUUUGAGCAGGAAGGCUAAUUGCAACAGCUUAAUUCUCAAGCCUUUCCAACCGGAUUUUUGUGAAGCUUUCCGCAAGCUGAAUCUCCAAGUUGUUCCUCAAGGCUUUCUUGCCAACCUCAUAGUCUCUCCUACUUUGGAAGAUCAAAUUCGUGAGGCACAACUCCUGGAUAGCAUGGUGAAGAAGGCGAAACGUGGUAUCGACAAGGGUCUUUCCAAAUACAAGUGCUAUCGCAUUGAUGACAGAGACACUUUAUUCUUCGAGGACCGGAUUGUGGUUCCUAAAGGCGAUCCAAGGAAAGUCAUUAUGAACGAGGCGCACAAUUCUCUUCUUUCCAUUCAUCCUGGAAGUACGAAGAUGUACCAUGACCUCAAGCAGUCGUAUUGGUGGACUCGAAUGAAGCGAGAAAUCGCUCAAUUCGUGAAUGAAUGUGAUGUCUGUCGAAGGGUGAAAGCAGAACACCAAAGACCAGCUGGUCUCCUCCAACCUCUUGCUAUCCCAGAGUGGAAGUUUGAUCAUAUCGAAAUGGACUUCGUGACUGGAUUUCCAAAGUCCAAGCGUGGAAAUGAUGCUAUCUUCGUUGUCAUUGACAAGCUUUCUAAAGGGGCUCAUUUCCUUCCAAUCAAAGAAUCUAUCACAGCAGCUCAGUUGGCAGAGCUAUACACCUCCAGGAUUGUCUCCUUGCACGGCAUUCCACAAUUGAUUUCUUCAGAUCGUUGA